This 1481-nucleotide ribosomal RNA is filed under the name Bacillus sp. (in: firmicutes). RNAcentral describes it as "bacterial SSU rRNA". It matches the Rfam family "Bacterial small subunit ribosomal RNA". The record is from RNAcentral. Lineage: Bacteria; Bacillati; Bacillota; Bacilli; Caryophanales; Bacillaceae.
AGGACGAACGCUGGCGGCGUGCCUAAUACAUGCAAGUCGAGCGGACAGAAGGGAGCUUGCUCCCGGAUGUUAGCGGCGGACGGGUGAGUAACACGUGGGUAACCUGCCUGUAAGACUGGGAUAACUCCGGGAAACCGGAGCUAAUACCGGAUAGUUCCUUGAACCGCAUGGUUCAAGGAUGAAAGACGGUUUCGGCUGUCACUUACAGAUGGACCCGCGGCGCAUUAGCUAGUUGGUGGGGUAAUGGCUCACCAAGGCGACGAUGCGUAGCCGACCUGAGAGGGUGAUCGGCCACACUGGGACUGAGACACGGCCCAGACUCCUACGGGAGGCAGCAGUAGGGAAUCUUCCGCAAUGGACGAAAGUCUGACGGAGCAACGCCGCGUGAGUGAUGAAGGUUUUCGGAUCGUAAAGCUCUGUUGUUAGGGAAGAACAAGUGCGAGAGUAACUGCUCGCACCUUGACGGUACCUAACCAGAAAGCCACGGCUAACUACGUGCCAGCAGCCGCGGUAAUACGUAGGUGGCAAGCGUUGUCCGGAAUUAUUGGGCGUAAAGGGCUCGCAGGCGGUUUCUUAAGUCUGAUGUGAAAGCCCCCGGCUCAACCGGGGAGGGUCAUUGGAAACUGGGAAACUUGAGUGCAGAAGAGGAGAGUGGAAUUCCACGUGUAGCGGUGAAAUGCGUAGAGAUGUGGAGGAACACCAGUGGCGGAAGGCGGACUCUCUGGUCUGUAACUGACGCUGAGGAGCGAAAGCGUGGGGAGCGAACAGGAUUAGAUACCCUGGUAGUCCACGCCGUAAACGAUGAGUGCUAAGUGUUAGGGGGUUUCCGCCCCUUAGUGCUGCAGCUAACGCAUUAAGCACUCCGCCUGGGGAGUACGGUCGCAAGACUGAAACUCAAAGGAAUUGACGGGGGCCCGCACAAGCGGUGGAGCAUGUGGUUUAAUUCGAAGCAACGCGAAGAACCUUACCAGGUCUUGACAUCCUCUGACAACCCUAGAGAUAGGGCUUUCCCUUCGGGGACAGAGUGACAGGUGGUGCAUGGUUGUCGUCAGCUCGUGUCGUGAGAUGUUGGGUUAAGUCCCGCAACGAGCGCAACCCUUGAUCUUAGUUGCCAGCAUUUAGUUGGGCACUCUAAGGUGACUGCCGGUGACAAACCGGAGGAAGGUGGGGAUGACGUCAAAUCAUCAUGCCCCUUAUGACCUGGGCUACACACGUGCUACAAUGGACAGAACAAAGGGCUGCGAGACCGCAAGGUUUAGCCAAUCCCAUAAAUCUGUUCUCAGUUCGGAUCGCAGUCUGCAACUCGACUGCGUGAAGCUGGAAUCGCUAGUAAUCGCGGAUCAGCAUGCCGCGGGUGAAUACGUUCCCGGGCCUUGUACACACCGCCCGUCACACCACGAGAGUUUGCAACACCCGAAGUCGGUGAGGUAACCUUUAUGGAGCCAGCCGCCGAAGGUGGGGCAGAUGAUUGGGGGUGAAUC